Oncorhynchus tshawytscha (Chinook salmon) is the source of this 894-nucleotide long non-coding RNA. NCBI's taxonomy places the organism in Eukaryota, Metazoa, Chordata, Actinopteri, Salmoniformes, Salmonidae. The record is from Ensembl.
GUUUUUUGUCUGUCUUCCGUAAACAAGCGCUGUAACAUGGAGAUAUGGCAGUGUGGGAACACUAAUCCUAUGACGCUGAUGUGUGAUGAUGAGCUCUGGGACAGAAAUGCCUGCACAGGCAUCACUCAGGAGGGUGCUACACAUUGAUAGUGGAUGAGUCGUUUUUGUGCGUGGAAUGGCAGCCAUCCAUCAAGCAAGCAAGAGGAAGCAGUCAAGACCAGGAAGUGAUGUUCUGUAUCAGUGAAGUCAGGUGACAGCAAAUCCAUAUCCCAGAUUACAGCUGCCCCAUUUAAGAGAAGAGGAAGAAGUGGAAAACACAGAAAUGUUUUGGAAAAUGAAGUAAAAUCAUACAAUUAAAUCCAAAUGUGCAAUUUCAAUCCCUAGCAUUCUUAAUUCAACUCUCAGUAAUAGUUUUAAAAUCUCAAGCUUCUAACAAUUGUGUUUGCUGGACAUAGUUCUGCCAUUUAGUAAAGUAAACAAGUAUGUAUGCCAUGGGUUACAGAGUUUAGAGUGCUUCUUAUGGUGGUGAUGCAACCCAGACAGUGGCUUGUGCACUUUCCUGUAUGUAUGGGGUGACAUGCAUGCAUUACUCAAAGCUAUGGUGAAUAACAAUGAAGUCAAUGUCUAAAAUUACAUCCACAGCAUUUCGAAUAACAUGUGAAGCAGUAGCCUAUUUGUUCACACUACGCUGAAGCUACUGAACAACUAAAGCAUGACCCGUGUACCCUGACCAUCAGGAUAUGGAGUGGAUAUAUUUUCAGGAUAUCUUCCCAUUCAUAGCAGCAGGGUACGAAGUCCAAACUGAUGCCCAUUAGGUCCAAAUCAUUGAUGUCAGAGUCAUGUCAGGAUUAGCUUGACGACUCAAACUGAAUUAUUCCGCUUGCUCUAUGUUCG